This is a long non-coding RNA of Helianthus annuus (common sunflower), 790 nucleotides long. RefSeq lists it as uncharacterized. The record is from RefSeq and is a predicted model, not a curated record. The transcript has 2 exons. NCBI's taxonomy places the organism in Eukaryota, Viridiplantae, Streptophyta, Magnoliopsida, Asterales, Asteraceae.
AUGGAGGAACGUGCAUUCCUUUCUUCUUCAAGCUCAGUUUCGCCGCUUCAGUUACUAUCGAUAAUAUCUGUUGCAGACGAUCGGCUUCUCCGACGAAGAUGUACGGCAGCGAUUGAAGGAUUGCUUUGUAGUUUCCGGUUUUGUUCUUCUCGACGAUUUUCGAUGUGUCUGCUAACAGAUUUCUCUGAAUCACACUCGCGCAAGGGAUCAAACUCUGUGAAUUCGAACAGGUUUUGUUAGAAUUAUAUGAAAUGUCACAUGAGAGAUACAAUAUGAUAAAACAUAUUAUGUCACAUAACAUAUGGUACAAACUUUUAUAACAUAUGAUAUAAUCCUUUAAAACUUAUUGUUGACUGUUAAGUAGCGUUUAGCAGUUUACCUUGAGUGUUUCAACAGAAUCACCAAAAUAUCCAGCAGCAGAAAGAUCGAAUUCAUCAUCAGAAACGUCGUUAAUGUUUCCGUUGAAACAAUUGCAACGAUUGCGGCCACAUUUCGGUUUCUCAGGAGCAGCAGCAUCUUCAAUAAAAUUUUGAACCAUUUUAGCCAAGCAAACAGAACUCGGCUCGAAUUCUCCAUCUUUGACUUCGUUGACUUUCUCCGAAUUGUUCUUUAAAACGCUAGGAAAUUGCCGAUCGAAUAGCCUCUUUAGCCGAGACUUCAACACUGGCUUCACUGCCACCGGAGAAUCAGAGUUCACCGAUUCAUCAUAACUUCGGUUGUCAAUUGGUUGAAUCUUCAUCUGGAAAUGCAUAGAGUAUACAAUCUGCCUUAAUAAUAAUACUUCCUAAUG